GAAAUGCGUUAAGUAGUGUGAAUUGCAGAAUUCAGUGAAUCAUCGAAUCUUUGAACGCACAUUGCGCCCCUUGGUAUUCCAUGGGGCAUGCCUGUUCGAGCGUCAUUUGUACCCUCAAGCUCUGCUUGGUGUUGGGUGUUUGUCCCGUCUCCGCGCGUGGACUCGCCCCAAAGUGAUUGGCAGCCGGCGUACUGGUCCCGGAGCGCAGCACAUGUCGCGCAAACGAGUGCCUUGGUACGGCGGCGUCCAUAAGCCCCUCUCUCACGCUCUUGACCUCGGAUCAGGUAGGGAUACCCGCUGAACUUAAGC
Molecule: unclassified non-coding RNA, 309 nt
Filed under: plant metagenome
Description: partial contains 5.8S ribosomal RNA, internal transcribed spacer 2, and large subunit ribosomal RNA
Rfam family: 5.8S ribosomal RNA (bases 1-105)
Source: RNAcentral